RNAcentral lists this long non-coding RNA (1692 nucleotides) under Triticum aestivum (bread wheat). Its description in RNAcentral is "long non-coding RNA (TAES_LNC023346)". The record is from RNAcentral. Lineage: Eukaryota; Viridiplantae; Streptophyta; Magnoliopsida; Poales; Poaceae.
UACUACUAUUAAAAGAGCAAACAUGAAUUCCCCUAAAACCACCCAAGCAAAUGUACACAGGAUAAAUAGAGCCCUUAGAUCUAAUCCAAUUACUCAAAUCUAAGAGUCCAUAGUAAUUUCGUGGUCUGCCAGCUAAUCGAAUGGUUCAGAUUCGAUGUUCUGCCCGGUCAGAUCGACCCGGAUGGAGCACAUCAACAAACCGCUAAUCCCGCCCGACAAUCCUUCGUCCACGCCCCACGCACGCCGCAUCUUCCUCGCUAACUCCUCCGGUUAUGCGGGCGAGAAUGAGGCCCUCAGAUCCCGUCACCGCCCCCACGCCAUUGGCACAGACCCCCCAUCCCGUCGCUAGGUGGAGGAUGCCGCGGAGGCAGCCGUGCCAACGACGAGCGUAGGACGCGGGUGGACUUCCCUCGCCCUGCUCUGCCGCCCCUGCAGCCCUCAUCAUCCUCGCGCUUCUCCCGAACCGGCGUCUCCCGUCCGCCUCGGCGCCUUCCGUAGCAGGCCAGGGCCGGAGCCGAGAAUGAAGCGUCCGCACGCGUCCAUCUCUCCCUUCGAGCCCCUUCGAUGCGCCCCCGACUGUCGCCGCCAUCUUCACUGGAAGCUCUACGAUGGUCAAGGUAAUCCCCAAACAAACCAUUGCCUGCUCACGAUUUCAGAAGAGAAGCGGGGGAGUGUAUUCAUGCGAUGAGUAAGAAGAUAAAUUUGUGUGGUUCAGACACCGGAUCAAUUGUUAGCUGCCCCGGUGGUACUGUUAGUGUGUUACUACAUCUGAAAUUACAUCUCAGCUAGCAGCUUCCUUCACAGUCCUGCGGACCUCACCGAGCUGCAAUUUCUGAGUAGUUUCCAUACACUAACUAUCGGAGUUAGAGAUGCCUUCAAGCACAAACUCGGCGACCCCCAGCAAGGCGACCGAGCACGGGCAGCCUCUGGCCAGCGAGCAGGAGAAGCUCACCGCGGAGGCUAAGUUCAGAACUACAUGUAGGUAGGUAGAUGGAUGAGAAUGAGAUACCUUUUUCCUUUUUCUUCAGUUUAUCUAGAUCGGCCGAUCGCCAAGGCAUGUAGCUGUUUGUGAUUAGUAUUGGAAGUGCAAGCAUUCUCACAUAGAUAAAAGAAAAUGGUUGUAAUCCGCGCAGAGAGUGAUUCUCUCUAAUUCAUGGGAGCGCUUAAUCGCCGUGAAGAUUCAGCGGUUAGCUCUCACUAAUUCAGGUCGAGCACCUGCACCACGACGGCGGCAGUCACUAUACGGAUAUCAGGCCAGUUGCAUAUUUCUUGCCUAAUAUUUUUAUUUAUUGUUGCAGACUGGGGAAGGAUGCCGAAGAUGUAGAGGUUGUUGCCCCAGUGACGCUGGAGCCCAUUCAAAGGAACAGAAGAUGCGCGUUUUUCCUCCUGACCAUUUGAGUGGUGUUCUGUGCAAUUUAUGCUUGUUUUGAAAAUUUGGUUAUAGACGUCGAAUUUAUCUCCAAUCAUCUGUUGUACUAUAUCUUCUACAAUCUUUCAUAUUUUAGCAUGAAUUUUUUAAAAUUUGUGGUAGGAAGCUUGUAUGCCAUUCAUGGAUUGGACAACAUACAUGUGCUAUUUUCUUUUGAUUAUCCCCUUCCAGACUGUUCGGGGUUUCUAGAUCAGAAUAGUUUGUCCAAUAUACCUCUUUGGAUCUCAGAGAAUUCAGAAUAAGUUCUUACAACAAUCCUUACU